AUUGAACGCUGGCGGCAUGCCUUACACAUGCAAGUCGAACGGCAGCGGGGGAGAAGCUUGCUUUUCCUGCCGGCGAGUGGCGAACGGGUGAGUAAUACAUCGGAACGUGCCCUGUAGUGGGGGAUAACUAGUCGAAAGAUUAGCUAAUACCGCAUCCGACCUGAGGGUGAAAGUGGGGGACCCCAAGGCCUCAUGCUAUAGGAGCGGCCGAUGUCUGAGUAGCUAGUUGGUGGGGUAAAGGCCUACCAAGGCGACGAUCAGUAGCUGGUCUGAGAGGACGAUCAGCCACACUGGGACUGAGACACGGCCCAGACUCCUACGGGAGGCAGCAGUGGGGAAUUUUGGACAAUGGGCGAAAGCCUGAUCCAGCAAUGCCGCGUGUGUGAAGAAGGCCUUCGGGUUGUAAAGCACUUUUGUCCGGAAAGAAAUGGCUCUGGUUAAUACCUGGGGUCGAUGACGGUACCGGAAGAAUAAGGACCGGCUAACUACGUGCCAGCCGCCGCGGUAA
This 508-nucleotide ribosomal RNA is filed under the name uncultured bacterium. Its description in RNAcentral is "partial 16S ribosomal RNA". It matches the Rfam family "Bacterial small subunit ribosomal RNA", at positions 30 to 523 of the family's 1533-position model. The record is from RNAcentral.